CCUACGGGUGGCUGCAGUGGGGAAUAUUGGACAAUGGGCGAAAGCCUGAUCCAGCCAUGCCGCGUGUGUGAAGAAGGCCUUCGGGUUGUAAAGCACUUUCAUUGGGGAAGAAAGCCUUGGGGCUAAUACCCUCGAGGAAGGACAUCACCCACAGAAGAAGCACCGGCUAACUCCGUGCCAGCAGCCGCGGUAAUAGGAGGGUGCGAGCGUUAAUCGGAAUUACUGGGCGUAAAGCGCGCGUAGGCGGUCUGAUAAGCCGGUUGUGAAAGCCCCGGGCUCAACCUGGGAACGGCAUCCGGAACUGUCAGGCUAGAGGGCAGGAGAGGAAGGUAGAAUUCCCGGUGUAGCGGUGAAAUGCGUAGAUAUCGGGAGGAAUACCAGUGGCGAAGGCGGCCUUCUGGACUGACACUGACGCUGAGGUGCGAAAGCGUGGGUAGCAAACAGGAUUAGAUACCCGGGUAGUC
Molecule: ribosomal RNA, 464 nt
Filed under: Vreelandella stevensii
Lineage: Bacteria; Pseudomonadati; Pseudomonadota; Gammaproteobacteria; Oceanospirillales; Halomonadaceae
Description: partial 16S ribosomal RNA
Rfam family: Bacterial small subunit ribosomal RNA
Source: RNAcentral